GCCGGCGGCGGGCCUGGGUCAGUGAGAAGCCCGUGGGCCCCCGCCCUGCCUGCUACUCCCAUCCCCACCUGCGCGCUCCCCAUCGGGGACGACCCCCGAUUGGGUCCGAUGCCUACCCUCGGGGUGGAGCCGGCAGGUUUUCUAUCAGAUGUUCCACGUAAUAAUGCUGGAGUUAAGAAGUUUCCAUUAUUUUGCUCCAAACCAGAAGACUCUGUUCCCUGUAUAUAGAAUAGGAGUAAUAUUUGAAAACAACUGGCUGAUGUUUAAAACUGAAGAUUGUCGUGAUUGUUUAUCCUAAUCCCAAUGCUGAAGUAAGAUUGUCUUGGAAAUACUAAGUUGGGAAAGUGAAUUCUGCAUUUAAAUUUCAGGGAACCAGUCAGAAGCAUCUGGAUUAGGCAUUUAGUGAUACAAGGAUCCAGAAUAACAAAAACUAUGUACCAGCCACAUUCACACAACAGGGUAAUCCAAAUCUACUUCUGGAACCAUGAAAAUUUUGCUAGUUUUUGACUUUGACAAUACAAUCAUAGAUGACAAUAGUGACACUUGGAUUGUACAAUGUGCUCCCAACAAAAAGCUUCCUAUUGAACUACGUGAUUCUUAUCGAAAAGGAUUUUGGACAGAAUUUAUGGGCAGAGUCUUUAAGUAUUUGGGAGAUAAGGGUGUAAGAGAACAUGAAAUGAGAAGAGCAGUGACAUCAUUGCCUUUCACUCCAGGGAUGGUGGAACUCUUCAACUUUAUAAGAAAGAAUAAGGAUAAAUUUGACUGCAUUAUUAUUUCAGAUUCAAAUUCGGUCUUCAUAGAUUGGGUUUUAGAAGCUGCCAGUUUUCAUGACAUAUUUGAUAAAGUGUUUACAAAUCCAGCAGCUUUUAAUAGCAAUGGUCAUCUCACUGUUGAAAAUUAUCAUGCUCAUUCUUGCAAUAGAUGCCCAAAGAAUCUUUGCAAAAAGGUAGUUUUGAUAGAAUUUGUAGAUAAACAGUUACAACAGGGAGUGAAUUAUACACAAAUUGUUUAUAUUGGUGAUGGUGGAAAUGAUGUCUGUCCAGUCACCUUUUUAAAGAAUGAUGAUGUUGCCAUGCCACGGAAAGGAUAUACCUUACAGAAAACUCUUUCCAGAAUGUCUCAAAAUCUUGAGCCUAUGGAAUAUUCUGUUGUAGUUUGGUCCUCAGGUGUUGAUAUAAUUUCUCAUUUACAAUUUCUAAUAAAGGAUUAAUAUGUCA
Molecule: RNA transcript, 1217 nt
Organism: Pan troglodytes (chimpanzee)
Lineage: Eukaryota; Metazoa; Chordata; Mammalia; Primates; Hominidae
Gene: PHOSPHO2
Gene name: phosphatase, orphan 2
Exons: 5
Source: RefSeq, a predicted model, not a curated record